AGUGGGGAAUUUUGGACAAUGGGCGCAAGCCUGAUCCAGCCAUGCCGCGUGUCUGAAGAAGGCCUUCGGGUUGUAAAGGACUUUUGUUAGGGAAGAAAAAGGAGCGGUUAAUACCCGUUUCUGCUGACGGUACCUAAAGAAUAAGCACCGGCUAACUACGUGCCAGCAGCCGCGGUAAUACGUAGGGUGCGAGCGUUAAUCGGAAUUACUGGGCGUAAAGCGAGCGCAGACGGUUACUUAAGCAGGAUGUGAAAUCCCCGGGCUCAACCUGGGAAUUGCGUUCUGAACUGGGUAGCUAGAGUGUGUCAGAGGGGGGUAGAAUUCCACGUGUAGCAGUGAAAUGCGUAGAGAUGUGGAGGAAUACCGAUGGCGAAGGCAGCCCCCUGGGAUAGCACUGACGUUCAUGCCCGAAAGCGUGGGUAGCAAA
This 427-nucleotide ribosomal RNA is filed under the name Neisseria elongata. RNAcentral describes it as "bacterial SSU rRNA". It matches the Rfam family "Bacterial small subunit ribosomal RNA", at positions 353 to 772 of the family's 1533-position model. Lineage: Bacteria; Pseudomonadati; Pseudomonadota; Betaproteobacteria; Neisseriales; Neisseriaceae. The record is from RNAcentral.